Molecule: long non-coding RNA, 612 nt
Organism: Magallana angulata
Lineage: Eukaryota; Metazoa; Mollusca; Bivalvia; Ostreida; Ostreidae
Exons: 2
Source: RefSeq, a predicted model, not a curated record
UAAUGACCACGAACCUAUAAAAAUAAAUCAUACAAUUACAGUGGUGAAAUAAUCAGUUUAUAACCCCCACGAAGACGGACGUCUUCCCAUAUACUGGUCAUCUAUCGGUCCGGCCCGGACGAGACCAUAAAUAGCCCCUGAUUAUGGCACGUGUGGUGUUGUACUUUUCAAUAUUAUGCAUUUUUGGAUGUUUACACAAUGUUAGUGGUCAAAAUAUAUACCAGAUGAUGAAUUGUCCUUUGCGCAUGUUCUGUCCAUGCGCACGGCAGUGUUCACGCAACUACUUCGCUGCCGGAUACUGUUACCCGUAUCGGGCGGUGAAAUGUUGCCCAGCUCAGAUUGUGUUCAUGUGUUCACUGUUUGGAAGUCGUAGUGCAGUUGAUAUCUAGCAAAGGAUUACACAACAGAUCAAAAAGAAAAUCAUACAAGCAAAUUAUGGAUUCUUGCAAAUCAUUAUGCACUUUUAAGUGGAUAUUCAUUUAUGACCCAACAGUAGAUUUUUCUUAGUGAGAGUGUGAAUUAUAUUUUUUUGAUUUCAUAACGCAGCUCUAGUGUAUUGCAUAUUUAUAUCUUUUGAGUUUAUUUUCUAAUAAAGUGCAUUUUAAUAUCCUA